This is a long non-coding RNA of Oncorhynchus tshawytscha (Chinook salmon), 266 nucleotides long. NCBI's taxonomy places the organism in Eukaryota, Metazoa, Chordata, Actinopteri, Salmoniformes, Salmonidae. The record is from Ensembl.
GGAUGGAGGAAGAACGUGGAGGAGGUGGUGGUGGUGGUAGAUGAGGGAGAAGGAGGAAGAGGAUGAGGAUGGAGGAAGAGUGUGGAGGAGGUGGUGGUGGUGGUAGAUGGGGGAGAAGGAGGAAGAAGAGGAUGGAGGAAGAGCGUGGAGGGGUGGUGGUGGUAGAUGGGGGAGAAGGAGGAAGAGGAUGGAGGAAGAGUGUGGAGGAGGUGGUGGUGGUAGAUGGGGGAGAAGGAGGAAGAGGACGAGGAUGGAGGAAGAGUGUG